AUGCCGUCGUCUCCAUCUCCCUCGCCAGGUCCGCCCCAUUGUCUUCCUCGCUCCCUUCCCUCUCUCGACGGCGACAGAUCCCCGCUUCCCCCUUGCCUCACCCACCCCUUCCCUUUCCUCAACGGCGACGGCGCACGGCGAUGCCAUCCCCAAAGCGGCAGAUCUAUGCGCGGCUACAAACUCGCGACAAGGACGGCCGCUGCGUCUCCAUGGGUGGCGCUACUCCACCACGGCGCCGAAAUGCUCGCCGCACUCCCCCCUGCUCCCCAACAAGCGGUGGCGACGGCGCCAAGCCUUACAAGCUGCGGGCCCGCCGCGCUCACCCCUCCUCCCCAACAGACGGCGCCAAGCGUUAGAAACUGGAGGCCCGCAGUGCUUCCCCCUCCUCCCUAACAGGCGGUGGUGACGGCGCCAAGCGUCAGAAGCUGGAGGCCUGUGGCGCUUCCCCCUCCUCCCCAACAGGCGGCGGUGACGGCGCCAAGGGUCUGAAGCUGGAGGCCCAUCGCGGAAUCUUCAUCGACGUCACCUCUAGCACUGAGGAGGAGCAGGAGGGGAGGAAGAACAAGGGGAAGGGCAAUCCCACGACGGCGACAUCUAACAAGUAGGAGAAGGGGACGACGAACAGCGGGAAGGAGGAGGUCCCUCUUAAAAUGAUGAGCUUCCAGGACUUGCACAACAAUUUAGCAGCAUCACAGGAGAGUGUCAAUGCACUUGCAGAUGAGCUUGCAAAAGAAAAGGAAAGGAAGAAGGCACUUCAGUGUGCACUUCAAGUGCAGCCAAGAAGGCAAGACAUAACAUUUAGUGGAUGAAAAGAAGCUGAUGGUCGAAGCUUUUGGUUUGGGGGGGGGGGGGGGGGAGCUGAUAGUUGUAACUUCUGAUAGUUGAAGCAAAAAAUAACAUUUAGGGUUGGAUCAGCAUCAGCAAGGACAUGUGUUUUGUGUAGGACUGUUCUUGUAUUGUUGGUGUUCCACUAUGGAUGUAGACCUGUGUACCCGCUAAUUAAGUACAAUGUCAAAUAUGUUAUGUGUCCUGUGCCAAGACUUGAAGUUUAAUAAAAAAAUGCGUCAUGCUCAAAAUGUUAUGAAUUUUCA
Molecule: long non-coding RNA, 1091 nt
Organism: Panicum virgatum (switchgrass)
Lineage: Eukaryota; Viridiplantae; Streptophyta; Magnoliopsida; Poales; Poaceae
Exons: 2
Source: RefSeq, a predicted model, not a curated record